This 1923-nucleotide ribosomal RNA is filed under the name Staphylococcus aureus. Its description in RNAcentral is "bacterial LSU rRNA". It matches the Rfam family "Bacterial large subunit ribosomal RNA", at positions 998 to 2925 of the family's 2925-position model. The record is from RNAcentral. Lineage: Bacteria; Bacillati; Bacillota; Bacilli; Caryophanales; Staphylococcaceae.
AUAAGGUCCGUGUUCGAAAGGGAAACAGCCCAGACCACCAGCUAAGGUCCCAAAAUAUAUGUUAAGUGGAAAAGGAUGUGGCGUUGCCCAGACAACUAGGAUGUUGGCUUAGAAGCAGCCAUCAUUUAAAGAGUGCGUAAUAGCUCACUAGUCGAGUGACACUGCGCCGAAAAUGUACCGGGGCUAAACAUAUUACCGAAGCUGUGGAUUGUCCUUUGGACAAUGGUAGGAGAGCGUUCUAAGGGCGUUGAAGCAUGAUCGUAAGGACAUGUGGAGCGCUUAGAAGUGAGAAUGCCGGUGUGAGUAGCGAAAGACGGGUGAGAAUCCCGUCCACCGAUUGACUAAGGUUUCCAGAGGAAGGCUCGUCCGCUCUGGGUUAGUCGGGUCCUAAGCUGAGGCCGACAGGCGUAGGCGAUGGAUAACAGGUUGAUAUUCCUGUACCACCUAUAAUCGUUUUAAUCGAUGGGGGGACGCAGUAGGAUAGGCGAAGCGUGCGAUUGGAUUGCACGUCUAAGCAGUAAGGCUGAGUAUUAGGCAAAUCCGGUACUCGUUAAGGCUGAGCUGUGAUGGGGAGAAGACAUUGAGUCUUCGAGUCGUUGAUUUCACACUGCCGAGAAAAGCCUCUAGAUAGAAAAUAGGUGCCCGUACCGCAAACCGACACAGGUAGUCAAGAUGAGAAUUCUAAGGUGAGCGAGCGAACUCUCGUUAAGGAACUCGGCAAAAUGACCCCGUAACUUCGGGAGAAGGGGUGCUCUUUAGGGUUAACGCCCAGAAGAGCCGCAGUGAAUAGGCCCAAGCGACUGUUUAUCAAAAACACAGGUCUCUGCUAAACCGUAAGGUGAUGUAUAGGGGCUGACGCCUGCCCGGUGCUGGAAGGUUAAGAGGAGUGGUUAGCUUCUGCGAAGCUACGAAUCGAAGCCCCAGUAAACGGCGGCCGUAACUAUAACGGUCCUAAGGUAGCGAAAUUCCUUGUCGGGUAAGUUCCGACCCGCACGAAAGGCGUAACGAUUUGGGCACUGUCUCAACGAGAGACUCGGUGAAAUCAUAGUACCUGUGAAGAUGCAGGUUACCCGCGACAGGACGGAAAGACCCCGUGGAGCUUUACUGUAGCCUGAUAUUGAAAUUCGGCACAGCUUGUACAGGAUAGGUAGGAGCCUUUGAAACGUGAGCGCUAGCUUACGUGGAGGCGCUGGUGGGAUACUACCCUAGCUGUGUUGGCUUUCUAACCCGCACCACUUAUCGUGGUGGGAGACAGUGUCAGGCGGGCAGUUUGACUGGGGCGGUCGCCUCCUAAAAGGUAACGGAGGCGCUCAAAGGUUCCCUCAGAAUGGUUGGAAAUCAUUCAUAGAGUGUAAAGGCAUAAGGGAGCUUGACUGCGAGACCUACAAGUCGAGCAGGGUCGAAAGACGGACUUAGUGAUCCGGUGGUUCCGCAUGGAAGGGCCAUCGCUCAACGGAUAAAAGCUACCCCGGGGAUAACAGGCUUAUCUCCCCCAAGAGUUCACAUCGACGGGGAGGUUUGGCACCUCGAUGUCGGCUCAUCGCAUCCUGGGGCUGUAGUCGGUCCCAAGGGUUGGGCUGUUCGCCCAUUAAAGCGGUACGCGAGCUGGGUUCAGAACGUCGUGAGACAGUUCGGUCCCUAUCCGUCGUGGGCGUAGGAAAUUUGAGAGGAGCUGUCCUUAGUACGAGAGGACCGGGAUGGACAUACCUCUGGUGUACCAGUUGUCGUGCCAACGGCAUAGCUGGGUAGCUAUGUGUGGACGGGAUAAGUGCUGAAAGCAUCUAAGCAUGAAGCCCCCCUCAAGAUGAGAUUUCCCAACUUCGGUUAUAAGAUCCCUCAAAGAUGAUGAGGUUAAUAGGUUCGAGGUGGAAGCAUGGUGACAUGUGGAGCUGACGAAUACUAAUCGAUCGAAGACUUAAUCAA